Non-coding RNA from Acanthosepion pharaonis, 112 nucleotides. Lineage: Eukaryota; Metazoa; Mollusca; Cephalopoda; Sepiida; Sepiidae. The record is from the annotation of a GenBank genome assembly.
UCGGCCACAUCACACUGAGACACUGAUCACCAUACGAUCACCGAAGUUAAGCAACGCCAAGCCUGGUCAAUACCUAGAUGGGUGACCGCAUGGGUACACCAGGUGCUGUAAG